RNAcentral lists this long non-coding RNA (2958 nucleotides) under Strongylocentrotus purpuratus (purple sea urchin). RNAcentral describes it as "uncharacterized LOC115923524". The record is from RNAcentral. Lineage: Eukaryota; Metazoa; Echinodermata; Echinoidea; Camarodonta; Strongylocentrotidae.
GAGGAUCAUGGGGGACCACUGAUUAGGUCACUGAUUAGGCAUUGUUUGCUAAAUAGAGGGUGCAAGUAGCUAUAAGUAGUGCAGUGGGGCUUUAAUUGGAAAUCAAAAGCAGAAUGGUGGUAUAAUAAUUGUAUAAAGCAUCUUGAGUAUGAAGGUUUCAGACGUGGUAUAAAUCUUGCAGUGUCUUUAUCGCAUUGGUGUGCAUUUUUCUGAGUGAUAGAUACAACUCUGUGUACGCAAAUGAACUCUAUAUCCGGUCAGUACUUGCUAAUGAAACCAAGGGAACAGUGUUGUGUGUAAUGUAUUAGAGUAUUAGCAUCAAAAAUUCCAUUCCUUGUCAAAUAUAUGUGUAACUGGUGUGACAUUGUUCGGCAUUGUUAUCCAGUGUGGGAGUGUUGUGUCUCGUAUUGUGAUAAUAUUACAUCAGUCUAUGGAGACUCAACUAAUUACACGUUAUGAAACGAUUUUGUAUGUGUCUGUAUGGUUGCGGUUUGUCCCGUAGAUACUCAAGGUACCGUGUACAAAUCAUGCAUUACAUUGUAUUGUGGGCUAAUGUUAAUGAGAGGACUUGUGAGAAAAAAAAAACUUCACUAUGGUGCUCACAUAUAGAAGGUUUCCUAUUUAAAGAAUUUCGAUGUUCACCUUUGAAGUCUGAUCCAGACAGUGAUUGGAUUCGUAUCCAUUGGAAAACCGUUGAAGGAAUAUGAAAAUUAAGAGAUAGAUAAAUGUACGGUCUCCGGGCUGGUAAAAGGUUCAUGUCAUUAUGAAGUGAUCAAUGAAUUCCAUCAAGGAAAACUGUGUCCACUUUGUUGGGUUCUAUUGGUUACCUAAGGUUAGGUACUCUUGAAGUUUCCCCAAGUGCUAUCCCUCCCUUAUUUACUUCACUCAUGCCACCAAACAUGACUCCAAACCUACUCCAAACUGAUCAGUUAUUGGCCAUUAGGGUUCAUGUAACUCUGCGUUUGGUCUGUUGUUCAGUCUGGUGUCGGUCUGGUGUCGGCCUGGUGUCGGCCUGCAUCGGUCAGGUGUCGGUCUGUUGUUGGUCUGGUGUCGGUCUGGUGUCAGCCUGGUGUCGGUCUGGUGUCGGUCUGGUGCCGGUCUGGUGCUGGCUGGGUGUUGGCCUCAUUGCUGUGACAGAGGUAUUACUGUUUCUUGUUUUAUGUUUGUCAAAAAUCGUUUUGUAUCAGCAGCAUCAGCAGGUUUGUGCAGUACAUAGUACAGAUAAUGUGAUUAUUGAUUGAAAGCUAAUAAUGUUCUAUAAAUAAAAGUCUAUUUAAUUACAUUUUAAACAGCAAAGUGUACUUGAAAAAAAUAUUAUAUAUUGACUUUGUGUGAGCACUUUAAGUUAUCAAUGUUUAAAUAGAGUACAUCGAAAAACUGAAACUAAAAUGCCUUGUAAUGCGAUACGUCUUCUGGUGAGAAUGAGGAUUAUUUUGUACUCUUCACGACUAUUUUUGAGCAUGUAUGAUCUGGUGUUUCUGUCAAUCGAAUUGGAUAUUAUUAUUGCAAGUACAAUUCAAUGAGUUUGUUCAGUGAUGAAAGCUUAAAUUGUUUUCAUUUAUAGCACCCUGAGACUAGUCAGAUUCUCAUGAAAUAGAAAACAGUGAAAUGAAACUAUUGUUUAAUAUUUUAGCAUCUAGAAUCGUUUGUUUCCCAACGUAGCAUAAAUCAAAUAUUAUUGUCGAAUAUUGUAGAUUCUAAAAAUCUGGUGCCGCAUUUUGAGAUAUCAUGACUUUGUCCAAUCUUAAAACCAUUGGAUAGUGAGGGAGAGAGAACCAGUGCUAUUUUUUGUGAGGACGACACAGAAAAAUGGGCCCUUUUUACACAGUCAAGGAAUUUUGGCCCAGCUGUCCAUUUUCUCUGUUGAAAUAUAAUGUGUUGUGAAAUGAUUCUUAAUGAAAUGAAACGUUAAAAGCAAAACAUUGCUUUCCCAUCUAAUCAAGUCAUACUUUGAAAUGCAAGAUUAUCACCUGUUUGUCAUAUGCAUAUAUAUGUUAUUUUAACAAGGACUAAAGCAUUUUGCCGACUGCAUAACUAAAUAUAAUGACAAAGGUAUCUUGUUUGUACGUUGUUCCUUAAUAUGCCAUUUAUUUGUUAUUCUAUUAUCACAACACCAUUAAAAGAUUCAUCAUUAGACGACCGGUACUCUUGUUUUGCAAAAUUAGAUAUAUAUUUGUACAGACAGCAGAAGACCUUUAUUUGCUUCAUCUGCUAUCAAAAGUGUCUAUCUCUGUUUUGGGGUGAAAAUUAUAUUGUGUAGAUUAUGAUAUAUUGUAGACUAUAUUUGUGUGUAUCAUUUAUAGAUACUUUUUAAUUGUGAGUUUGUAUAUUUUUAUGACUACGUGUUUGCCGGUUCUCUUCCACUUUUCACAUGUCUACUUGAGUUUUGUAAAUGCUUUCACAUGUAAUCAGCAUUGGUGCCUUUUUGUUUCAUUUUGAAAACAUUCUUCAAAUUUGUCAUGCUGCAAAAAAAAAGAAAGAAGAAGAUGAAAAAAGUAGAAAUAGAGAUCAUUUAUUGUAGAUGUAAAAUCCCUCAUUGAAGUUCCCAUUAUAUGAAAACUCAAUUUUAUUGUCAAAGAAGUCUUAAAUUGUUAUUGAUAAGACAUUGUUAUGGGCAUAUUGGAAAAAAGAAGUUCUUUUCUUUUCAUGUGGAAAUAAGAUGUAUGUGUACACUAUGAAAUGUUAAGAACUGUGGAACUGCGUGAAUUGGAACGAUAAUUAUAAAGAAUUUUUGAGAAUUUUUCCCACAGUAGUGAUGCAGACCUAAUUCAUUUCGGUUAUUCAUGAUGAAUGAAAGAAAUGAAGUAGAUCUGGACCAAUCACAAUGAAAAACAUUUUUCUCGAAAGCAAUCUUCCAGUUUAGUUCUGAUUCCUCUGUCUUACAGUAUUAAUUGUCCGUCUUUCCCCUACGCACUUUUACUUGUGACCUUGCCAUUUAGUUGUGAGCUCAACUCCUCA